Monodelphis domestica (gray short-tailed opossum) is the source of this 505-nucleotide long non-coding RNA. RefSeq lists it as uncharacterized. The record is from RefSeq and is a predicted model, not a curated record. Lineage: Eukaryota; Metazoa; Chordata; Mammalia; Didelphimorphia; Didelphidae.
CCUUGUCUUUGUGAUCAUCUCUGCUCACACAGCUGUGCUCAGUCAUGUAGGAAAGGAUUCAGUCACUGUACCCCACUCUCAAAACAUGAGCCAGUCAAGACUCCCUUCAGAGAAAAAAAAUUGAAGGCUGUGACUCUACUGAACAGAUGUUCAAAUUUCAAGAUAGUUGAAUAACAUUGAGAGCAAGCCUCCUCCUUGGUCUCCCUGUCAGACUUACUGGAAAGAGCCAGGAAAAAAGGCUGAAGGAAACCAAAUGUCAGUUGCUACAUUCUGUAUUUUUCUGAGCUUCGGAGGACAUCAUGGUGGACAAGGAGACGUCUAUAACAGUCAGUACUUAAACGACAGUGGAAAUAUCUGAAUUCUGAGCCCAUGCCAAGUCUCUAAAUGGAAUGGCAGGGGACCACGGAGAAGGAGUGGGGAUAUGUUCCUGAAAUUCUCCUGCAAGAGUAUCAGAGGGCAUCUCUUGAAACGUGAAAGCAGUAAAUAAAAGAUGUAGGAAAUACAA